CAGCAGUAGCCGCGGGAACACGGAGGAUCCAAGCGUUAUCCGGAAUCAUUGGGUUUAAAGGGUCCGUAGGCGGUCUUGUAAGUCAGUGGUGAAAGCCCAUCGCUCAACGGUGGAACGGCCAUUGAUACUGCAGGACUUGAAUUAUUGGGAAGUAACUAGAAUAUGUAGUGUAGCGGUGAAAUGCUUAGAGAUUACAUGGAAUACCAAUUGCGAAGGCAGGUUACUACCAAUUGAUUGACGCUGAUGGACGAAAGCGUGGGUAGCGAACAGGAUUAGAGACCCCCGUAGUCCCUGUCUCUUAUAC
Molecule: ribosomal RNA, 304 nt
Filed under: uncultured bacterium
Lineage: Bacteria
Description: partial 16S ribosomal RNA
Rfam family: Bacterial small subunit ribosomal RNA
Source: RNAcentral